AGGAUCAUUACCUUACACAAUCGGGGGUCGACCAGGAGCUUUGAAAAAGGCUCGUUAAGCGGUCCGCCCUGUCUGAACCCAUGUCUUUUGCGUACUACUUGUUUCCUCGGCGGGCUUGCCCGCCGGUUGGACACCAUUAAAACUCUUUUGUAAUUGCAAUCAGCGUCUGAAAACUAUAAUAGUUACAACUUUCAACAACGGAUCUCUUGGUUCUGGCAUCGAUGAAGAACGCAGCGAAAUGCGAUAAGUAGUGUGAAUUGCAGAAUUCAGUGAAUCAUCGAAUCUUUGAACGCACAUUGCGCCCCUUGGUAUUCCAUGGGGCAUGCCUGUUCGAGCGUCAUUUGUACCCUCAAGCUUUGCUUGGUGAUGGGUGUUUGUCCUAUCCUCGCGACUGGACUCGCCUUAAAGUUAUUGGCAGCCGGCAUAUAGGCCUUUGAAGCGCAGCACAUUUUGCGAUCUAAGCCUCUGUUCUGGCAUCCAUGAAGCUCAAUUAUCACUUUUGACCUCGGAUCAGGUAGGGAUGCCCGCUGAACUUAA
RNAcentral lists this ribosomal RNA (537 nucleotides) under uncultured fungus. RNAcentral's name for it is "eukaryotic LSU rRNA". The stretch from base 187 to 340 matches the Rfam family "5.8S ribosomal RNA". Lineage: Eukaryota; Fungi. The record is from RNAcentral.